CACUACGAAGCUUAAAGCGUCAACCUUUUAAGUUGAAGUUAGAGGUGUAUAAACCUCCGUAGUGA
Molecule: transfer RNA, 65 nt
Filed under: Eolagurus luteus (Yellow steppe lemming)
Lineage: Eukaryota; Metazoa; Chordata; Mammalia; Rodentia; Cricetidae
Description: tRNA-Lys
Rfam family: tRNA
About the family: Transfer RNA (tRNA) molecules are approximately 80 nucleotides in length. Their secondary structure includes four short double-helical elements and three loops (D, anti-codon, and T loops).
Source: RNAcentral